This 3018-nucleotide long non-coding RNA is filed under the name Coffea arabica (coffee). RNAcentral's name for it is "long non-coding RNA (CARA_LNC005893)". Lineage: Eukaryota; Viridiplantae; Streptophyta; Magnoliopsida; Gentianales; Rubiaceae. The record is from RNAcentral.
AGCAACAUGAAUACAAUAAUGCGGAAGCGUUCAAGCUUAACAAGUCGCUUAAUGUAUAACCAGUACAUCAGGUAAUCAUAACACGACUUAAAUUCAAAGUACACGUCAGGGCCCAAACUUUUCAAGUUUACAAUUUCCAAAAGUACAACCCAAACCAGGGCCUAGUCAAAAUAUAUAACAGGAGUCUUAACAAAAGUACAACGGAUGGUUUCUCCAUAUUUCUCCAAGAUUCAGUCCUGUUAAGGAAAACAAAACUAUAGGGUGAGCUAAACGCUCGUGAGGCCAAGAACACACAUGCAAGCACUUUGUCAAAUAUCAAUCCCAAAUUCAAUAAAUAAAAUCACGUCUUUUCAAUAAUCAAUCAUUCAAACAGGAAAAAUAAUCAUAAACAAUUCAAGGAUAUAGUAGCUCUCAGGAGCUAAAUUCCACUUGCUCUGCCGAUAACAUUCGUAUACCUUCCCGCGUUGACCCUCCUGUCAACCAGGUCGGUAUUUUCAUUUCCGUAGAUCACCACUUACUUCCCUCCGUCCACCGUACACCCCAAGGGCCCACAAGUCUAUUAUGAGGCGAUACUCUACGAGUAUGCCAAGCAGGACCUCUCAUUAGGUCGAGCUUAUAUGUAUCUCAUGGCUCGCCCCAGUCCCCGACCAAGCCCAUUGCCGGCUCGAGUCCAAGGUCGGCCUAUGAGUUUGGGCGUCCCUCAUUCAUUAGAAAGUCGAGGAGGUUCACUCCAACGACACAUGCAUUGACGACAUAACAUUUCAUUUCAUUCAUUCAUUCAAUACAUUUCAUUCAUUCAUUUGAAAUUAGAACGAGUGCGAUAAAGUACGUACCCGCUCUUAUUUUUAAAACUUCCAACAAUUACCACAAUAAGCAAGUAUCAAAAUUCACACACUUGACACUCACCGAGCAAUUCAAUAAGAAUUAUUUUCUGGGGAGUUCAAGUGUCCACUGUGAGAUCCUCUUGAAGGUCUCCUUGUGCGCCUGGCAAUUAACAGUGGAUAAUCACACAAUUAACCCACUUAUCAAGAAGAUUGUACACUAGUACAAUCUAAGGAUUAUUUCGCAAAAAGGAACCUCAAUUACACGUAAAUCGAGGUUCAACUUGUCUUUUAUUAUGUACAAUAUUAGUUGAGUUUUUAUCAUGAAAAUCGUGAGCAAAACGUUUAAGAAUAUUAAAAGAAUAAAGAGUUCUUGAAAAACUCUAUUUCUUUGAGAUUGGAAAAUUUUCAGUUUUAUGAUUAAUCUUUGAAAAAUCGUAACUCGCUCGGCAUAAGUCGAGAAUUGGAAAACUUUAUACCGUUGGAAACCUCUUAGAAAGUACUAUAAGUUCCUAGAAGACACUUUUUCAUGAAUCAAAGUGGAAAGUGUUCAAAAAUGAGCUUGAAGAUGCAGGAUUGGUUUACAAGGCAGAAUUAAGUUGGAUUUCGGCCAACUUUGAAAAUUCGGCACGAUUCACACGUUGCAAACCAGCCUCUGAAAUUUGUCACUCAAUUAUAGUUGCGAGCAAGGUUUAUAACAAAACAAGCGGAUCAAGAAUCGGAGUUUCGAGUACCGAGAUACGGUAGCCCGAAGUUUGGGAAAUUCAAGACUGGAGAAGAAUUUCCAGAUUUGAACCUCCAACAUGAGGAAUUUAAUUGGGUAUCGAAACGAACUUGGAUUGGUACCAAAAUUGGCAGUAUUUUACUCCCAUAUGAAAGGUACCGUUCUAUCAAAUUUCAGGGAAAAAUACCUUCGGUAAGAUAGUUAAUUAGUCAACCAAAGUUCAGGAAAAUUAUAAGGCAAUCUGCCUUGAGACUUUCAUUACCCAAUUCAAAACGUUUAAUCAAGCAAACUAUAUAAUCAUGGUUCAUUUGUGAAAUAAAGGCCCAAGAAACAUCCAUAAUGCCUUUGGUAAGUGUUUAGUAUCAAGAACAUCAAUUAACAGGUUCACUCCAAGAUCUUGUUCCAAACCAGUCCAACAUUAGGGUUUUUCCAAAACAGAGCAGUCCACUUGUUUCAGUCACAACUCAGUCAAUAUAACUCGAAAUCGAGCAUGGCUUACGCCGUUGGAAAAUACAUUCAUAGGGUUAAAAUAUCACAGAAGAAAUCGUUUCCAAAUUCGGCACCCAUCUGGUUCAAAAUCUGGCAUCAAGUUGCUGCCUGAACACUUCAUUCCAGAUGAACAGAGCAACAGGACAGCGAACUUAAAACAUUUGGUUCGGCUUGCUCGAAAAGAAUCAGAACAUGCAUUAUAUACCAAAUUAAAGCCAGGAAUGUCUAGUUUCCAACGCCACCAACGGCACAUGAUUUCGACAUCCGAGAACAGAGUUAUAGCCAAAAUACUACCACUGGUCAGAAUCAUACGCGAACAGUUUUCCAGAUUUGCUAGUUUCUCAAGAAAAAUUCAUUUGCUCAAUCAAACCUCAAUAUUUUUCAAUGAAAUUUUUCACACAUCAAAUACAUCCUAUAAACAUCCAAUUCAAGCUGUUAGACCAUUAAAAUUUGGCCUCAAAAUGGCCGAACAUGGCAAGGGCAAAAUCAGAAGUUUUUGCUUCUUACACCCAAUGAAGUUUCUACUAAUUACCCACCACUAAUGCAUCAUUAUAACCACUAAACCAACAAUAUAAUCACCAUCAAUCAUCAAAUCAGCAACAACAACCCAAGUGUGGGAAUUCAAAGAGCCCACAAUCACAUUUUUACACCAUACACAAGCUAACCAAGUGCAUGCAUGAACUUAACAAGGUAAGAUAGCUUCCAAACUUCAAGUUUCCAAGAGUGGAUCAUCACUUACUUUGGUUGGGUGUUCAAGCAGAAUUUUCGGCCCUCUAUUGCUCCAGAAAAACCGUGAUUUCCAGCCCUUGUUUGCAGCUCAAAAGGCUCCUCAAGUAUCAAGCUAAGUGUGGUGCAAGUUUGGUUGAAUUUGGAGAUGAUUUGGGGUGGUUUUGAGUGAGAUUUGUGAGCUGAAAAUUUGAAGUAAUGGAGUUAGAGAGAGGAGGGUGUUGGCCGGCUGUCUUGAGAGGAAGAGAGAGAGUGAUC